GCGAGGGAAGAGCGGGGCGGCGCCCGCGCGUUACGUGAUGGAACCCGCCCGGCGGGCGCAACAGGAGGCCCGCCUGGGGGCAGUGCGCUGCCGGCCGCGUCACGUGACGCUUCUUGCCAACAGGUCGCCCGAGGCGGGACGCGGGGGUCACAGAGGCUUCCGGUGGCUCCAGGUGUUCCUUGGCUUGUGACUGCAUAACUCCAUUCUCUGCCUCCAUUUUCAGGCAGUGGUGAACUGUGUGGAAUUGCUGAUGCUGGAGUUGAAACCUGAAUAUGAGGAUGCUCUAAACUGAUUUGCAGCACAGUAAAAAUGGAAGAAUAAGAGCUGUGUGAGGAUACAAGAAGAAAACAGUCAUUUGCAAACAGGAAGAGUUCCCUCACCGGACAGUAGAUCGGGCCUUGAUCUUGGACUUCUAGUCUCCAGGACAGUGAGAAAUAAAUGUUCGUUGUUUAAGCCACCCAGUCAGUCUAUAACACCCUAAACUAAGAGAACACAGUCUUGGAGGUUUGCUUUAAAAAUGAGGAAACCAAGGCCUAGGGAGGAGAGACAAAACACAGUGUGGAAGGACUCCUAGAUUGCUUUGAUAAACCUAAAUUGUACUCUUGUGUGACUGUAGGCAAGUUUGUGACUAGGCCUCAAAUUCCUCUUCUGCAAAGGGAGAAGACUGAGAAGCGGUAAGUGAUUUUCAAGAUGCGUUUUGAGGCAUUUACAGUCUGCUUUUAUGAUUUUGAGAUGGAGUGUCUUGGCUGAAGUCAUACAGUGUUCUAUCACCUGGCCCAAUGUUUUGUUUUAUGACACCACACUGAGUUUCCAUUAAAAAAUUUUUUUUAUGUGAA
Prionailurus viverrinus (fishing cat) is the source of this 836-nucleotide long non-coding RNA. RefSeq lists it as uncharacterized. The transcript has 4 exons. The record is from RefSeq and is a predicted model, not a curated record. NCBI's taxonomy places the organism in Eukaryota, Metazoa, Chordata, Mammalia, Carnivora, Felidae.